RNAcentral lists this ribosomal RNA (520 nucleotides) under uncultured Archaeospora. RNAcentral describes it as "SSU rRNA". It matches the Rfam family "Eukaryotic small subunit ribosomal RNA", at positions 569 to 1095 of the family's 1831-position model. Lineage: Eukaryota; Fungi; Glomeromycota; Glomeromycetes; Archaeosporales; Archaeosporaceae. The record is from RNAcentral.
AGCAGCCGCGGUAAUUCCAGCUCCAAUAGCGUAUAUUAAAGUUGUUGCAGUUAAAAAGCUCGUAGUUGAAUUUUAGGCUUGACCGGGCGGUCCGUCUCUGGCGAGUACUGUCCUGUUGUCGGGUCUAUCCUUCUGGUGAGCCGGUAUGUCCUUAAUUGGGUGUGUCGGGGAACCAGGACCAUUACCUUGAAAAAAUUAGAGUGUUUAAAGCGGGCUUUUGCUUGAAUAGAUUAGCAUGGAAUAAUAGAAUAGGACGUUGGUUCUAUUUUGUUGGUCUAGGACCACCGUAAUGAUUAAUAGGGAUAGUUGGGGGCAUUAGUAUUCAAUUGUCAGAGGUGAAACUCUUGGAUUUAUUGAAGACUAACUACUGCGAAAGCAUUUGCCAAGGAUGUUUUCAUUAAUCAAGAACGAAAGUUAGGGGAUCGAAGACGAUCAGAUACCGUCGUAGUCUUAACCAUAAACUAUGCCGACUAGGAAUCGGGCGACGUUAUUUUCAUGACUCGCUCGGCGCCUUAUGGGA